UACGAAGGGGGCUAGCGUUGUUCGGAGUCACUGGGCGUAAAGCGCACGUAGGCGGAUGUGCCAGUCAGGGGUGAAAUCCCGGAGCUCAACUUCGGAACUGCCUCUGAUACAGCACGUCUUGAGUCCGGAAGAGGUGGGUGGAAUUCCUAGUGUAGAGGUGAAAUUCGUAGAUAUCAGGAGGAACACCAAUAGCGAAGGCAGCUCGCUGGGACGUUACUGACACUGAGGCGCGAAAGCGUGGGGAGCGAACAGG
RNAcentral lists this ribosomal RNA (253 nucleotides) under uncultured bacterium. RNAcentral's name for it is "partial 16S ribosomal RNA". It matches the Rfam family "Bacterial small subunit ribosomal RNA", at positions 524 to 776 of the family's 1533-position model. The record is from RNAcentral.